RNAcentral lists this ribosomal RNA (254 nucleotides) under uncultured bacterium. RNAcentral's name for it is "partial 16S ribosomal RNA". It matches the Rfam family "Archaeal small subunit ribosomal RNA", at positions 474 to 727 of the family's 1478-position model. The record is from RNAcentral.
CACCAGCGCCACGAGUGGUUAUCACGAUUAUUGGGCCUAAAGCGUUCGUAGCCGGUUUGGUAAAUCUCUUGUGAAAUUGUGCUGCUUAACAGCACAGCGUGCAGGAGACACUGCCAGACUCGAGACCGGGAGGGGUCAGAAGUAUUCCGUGGGGACCGGUAAAAUGGGAUAAUCCACGGAGGACUACCGAUGGCGAAGGCAUCUGACCAGAACGGAUCUGACGGUGAGGAACGAAAGCCAGGGGAGCGAACCGG